This 230-nucleotide ribosomal RNA is filed under the name uncultured bacterium. Its description in RNAcentral is "partial 16S ribosomal RNA". It matches the Rfam family "Bacterial small subunit ribosomal RNA", at positions 563 to 791 of the family's 1533-position model. The record is from RNAcentral.
AAGCGUGCGCAGGCGGUUAGUGUAAGACAGAUGUGAAAUCCCGGGCUCCAACCUGGGAACUGCAUUAGUGACUGCAUAGCUGGAGUACGGCAGAGGGGGAUGGAAUUCCGCGUGUAGCAGUGAAAUGCGUAGAUAUGCGGAGGAACACCGAUGGCGAAGGCAAUCCCCUGGGCCUGUACUGACGCUCAUGCACGAAAGCGUGGGGAGCAAACAGGAUUAGAUACCCUGGU